RNAcentral lists this long non-coding RNA (26430 nucleotides) under Xyrichtys novacula (pearly razorfish). The stretch from base 23494 to 23572 matches the Rfam family "tRNA", at positions 7 to 64 of the family's 71-position model. Lineage: Eukaryota; Metazoa; Chordata; Actinopteri; Labriformes; Labridae. The record is from RNAcentral.
CCUCGCAGUUAGGAUUUGUGGCGUUUGUCAGAGACAAACAAAGUUACAACACAGCAGAAGACAGAGGAUGUAAAAGAGACACAAAUUUGACUAAAAAUUCAGUUCAUGUUUUUAAAAUAUUACAGAGAGAAGUAGCUGACUCUCUCUGGAAUGAGUGGCCAAAUAAAUUUCCACCAGACUUUCAAGUGACCUAACUUCUCAACUUUCGAGUAAAGACAAACAUGAGUCAAGAGUCUUUGUUUUCUCUUCUGGCCGUACACUGGAAAAGAUGCAGUCAUCCUCAGAAGGUUCAAUAGCAUUCCUCUGCUUUUAUGAUAAGCUGUAGCCUGUUAGUCCUAAGCCUGGGAGUCAAAGCUUCAAGCUGGCCAAAAAGCUGUGUAAGCAUUGACGGGAGCUACACUAAUUGAAGAAAGAGCAUCAGACUUAGAGCUGGACUAGACGCUAUCCUUGCUGUUUUUGAGAUAGUAGACCACACAACCACAUCCACAAUACUUUUGUUUAUGUUAUAGUAUCAUGUCAGUAGAGGCUCAUGGGAUUUUUGCUCAGAUAACCUUAGUUAGGAGACAAAGAAAAAGACAGAAAAGUUCAAUCAUUUCUGUUUGUUUGUACAGAUGGAAGACAGAAAAGGCAAAGGCAAACAGGAAUUUUUGUAAAGAAGAUGUUCACACACAACCCACAAUGUAUCUCAAAAAUAUAACUGGAUAACAAAAACUGUUAGGUAAUUUACACUGAAACUCACAAAAAGACAGUCAAAAGACUUAAAACAAUCUCAAACAGAGGAAAACUUACAUUUAUAAUACUGUGUGAAUGGCAAAGUUUAAUAGACACAUAUUGGUUAUGGGUUUCCAAAAAAUAGUGCCAGAGACAGUGCCGAAGUGGAUUUUUUUGAUGGCAAAGUGAAUCACUCCUAAGUAUUAAAAUGUUGCAUAAAUUUACACUGGUAUUAUUCAGGUUGGGCUUUUUUUAAAUCUUCUGUGAGAACAUUUUUGACAUUACAGUAUAUAACAGACUUAAUUUCAUAUUGAUGUCUUAUGAUAAUAAACAAGGUAGACAAGACCAUCAGCAACAAGACUGACAAUUUUUAUCUAAGAUAUUCAAAAUUCAAAACAGGCACAAAGGGGGUUGGUGUCAGCGGAGCAGCUGAAGAUAAAGCACAUCUUUACACCUUAUACAUUAAAAAAAUUAGACAUUUUUCCAUCAAAAGUUAGCAGGAUGACAUUUUUGUCUCUAGUCACUUCUCAAUCAUUUAGAUCUAAGAUAAGCAAAGACUUGUUUGUCUUCAGGGGAUGCCAAAAUUGACACAAUCUUAAAGUCCCACACAGGAGUUUUAAUUUGCUAUAUACAAGUUUGAGUUGUUUCUUUCUGUGGCUGUAAAGAGCCUAGCUUCAAGUUUAAUUAUGUUAACCCAGUGUGCUUAUGUUUUAUUUUUUAAAAUAAGAAGAACAGAAGUGUUUGAUAUCUUAAAUAAUAUCUGAAUAUUUUAAUUGAUAGAUAUUUACCAACAUCUGCACCUAUUUUAUGGGAUAGUAGCUGCAUAAAUUAUCAAGAAAGUGUCAGUGUGGUACCCUUUAACUUGUCCCAGAAUGGAAACCAAAUGAACAUAAAACGCAUUUCAUAUUUAUUGGAGCCAAUAGAGCUAACCAAUGAAAUAUCUACUUGUACAGUAUUUGCCAAACUGAUUCAUUCUUUAGUUCUUUAUAUGAUGCUCUGGGAAUUAUAAGUUUAGAAUGGCUUUUUCCCUCACUUAAUGACUUUUAUGAAAGUAAAAUAUAUGGUCUCUGGCUUUUGUAAAGAGAAUAGUUGUGAGGUAGAGUUAGGCUGCUAGAGUUACUUCUAUGUCUCUGAUAUCAAAUGAGAAGACCAUUUGCAUCAGUCUGUGAUGAAGCAUAUGGAGCUGCUGUAUGUACAGUAAAUUUGACAAGAAGUUGUUUGCUAUCUUUCAGUAUUUUUUCUUUAUUUUUGGGUCUUUUUGAUUAAAAAAGUCUGCCUAACUGCUACCACAUGUUCAGACUUUGUACUGCUGUCAUUGCUUCGAUGUGAGCGUGUUGUUUUCCAGACUCUGUGUGUGGUGAAUGUGUGUGAGACAGAGGAAAAGAUGCAGAUACACAGUGACAAAGACGGAGCAUAAAGAAAGAAUGUAAAUGUGUGUCUGGUUUCUUCAUUUUCCUCCUAAUGUGAGCAACACAAAACCCUACAUCUUAGAUACAGUAUAGCUCCCUCCUGAGAACAUCUUUACUGCCAUAUCUGUUACCCUUUAUAAAAACCUAUUUAUACCUCCACAAAAGGGAUACCAGUGUUUCUAGAAAAGCAGGAAGAGAGGUUAUGAAAUACUCUUGAAAUUCUCAGCAUUUACUUCAGAGGCAUCUGUCCUUGACACUGACAUGAAUCACAGUCUGUUGAAGGGUGAGAGAGGAUUUUUUUUCCAUCAGAGGGCUCCAUAAAUCUAACCCACUGACCAGCAGGUGAAAAAAUAGAGCACACGAGAGUCUGCAGGAAAGAAAACGUAAGCAGACAAGAGACCUGGAUGAAUUAAAAACGGCUGGAAAAUGACUAGAAGAGCAAAUGAGACUGAAGCAACAUGUUGAGUGACUAAAGUCUGGAACUGUCUACUCAUGUUUGAGCUGAUCAGCACCCACACAAAGAGGCUCACACUUAUGAGGCCUCUGCAUUCAAUUAGAUACACGAGAAUGAUUUGUAAGGACAUCAGUUCUCAGGCCUAUUUCUGUGAGUCUUUAAACAAGGCCUUUGUUGCCUCUGUCCAUUUCCUUAUUGACCGUCUUCCCUCUUCUUCUGCUGCUUCUACCUCACUUUGCUUCAGAUGGAGGAAGUGGUUUGUGUGCAGACUGCGGCUGGCUGGAACACUGUGCUGUGCACCGGGGAAGCCGAAAUUCGAACCCCUGUGCAUUAAAUGUUCCACUAGAGCAACAAUUUCUGUGAGGGGAAAUGUGUGGUGGGCCAGUGUUAGAGGAUGGAAGGGGAGGGGGGCUCAGUCAGGGGUGGAAGGAGAGAAAGCUGGAGGUUGUUAUGGGGGGACUUGCUCAUGACUCUAAAUAAGAUUCUGGUGGUUGAGUUGGUUUUACUGCAUGCCAUAUACUGUAGAGGUGGAUUAAAACCUAACCACAUACCUUUGUUGCACAUCAUUGUCCUUGUCCUCCUCCUCUAUUCUUGUCUCUCUCACUCCCUCUGCUGUCAGCGGCCCACCAGAGCAAAACCAUGGAGGAGGAAUGCAGAAAUGAGUCUCAGAGCCAAAAAAGCCACGUAUGUGCAAUAUGCCUGUAACCCGGACACAAUAACAUGACACCAUCUCUGCAUUACUUCAAUAAAGAAUGAGUUGUUGUAUUACAUUUUCAUUAAUUGCAUGCAUGACUAAAUGUUAAACCAGCUGUUAAAUAACUGGUUUGAUGCUCAGGGCCUUAGUCUGUGGAGACAGUUCUAACAACAGCUGGAAUAGAAUUUAUCAAGGAUGUAUUCAAAAACCUCCAGGUAAAAAUAAAUAUCCUUAAUGAUAACUAUUCCUGUAGAUUAUCUUUGUCAAAUACAGCAAAGCUACUGGGGUCAACCAGUGGCAACUGGAUGGAUGUUUCAACACAGUAUGUAAGUCUCAAGUCAAGCAUAAAAUGUUUAUUUUGCAUCUUUUGGAAAGCUUGUGAAGCAGUCUUUAGUCAGCAAAAUUAGCCAUCCUGUUGACUGUUUUCAUAAUGUGGUUUUCCAAUUGUGAGUCUGCCUAGGAGCAAAAGCACAGGGUUCCCUUGGCAAGCUUUCUGACUGAUGUAGAGGUUUGCACAGUAUGUCAGAUUUCUAUGUAAGUCAGCGUGAGUCAGUGAAGAAGUAAUUAAAUAAAUUUGUUUUGUCUUUCAAAAUGUAUGAUAGAAAAACGCUGCCUUGCACUUGAUUUUUCUGGGAGCUGAUAUGGUUCAAUACAGUUAAACAAACAACAAAGUGAAUGUUUUAUAAGAACAAAACAAAAUGAAAAGUAUGCUGCAAGAGAUUCACGUAGCUUGAAAUUAACUGGCACAUUUAGCUGUAAUUGUUAUCUGGAGAGCUUUAAUUAUACUGUUUAUCAGCUAAGGAGAAGUCUCUUGUGGGUUUAUCAUAACCUGUAUAUACUGGGUCAAAAUGCAAAGACUUACCUCUGCUCCUGCUGCAACAAACCUCAGAUAUAAGUGCAAAACAACCCAUGACAGCAGCUACAACACUGUAUCCUUGUGUAGUGCUUAUUUUAAAUCAUAUUUUGAAUCCAAUAAACCAGAAACAAGCCUGGAUUAUUUUGAUAUUUUUCACAUGUAGACUAUGGCAACCACCAACUUCAAUAUUUAUUUAUCUAUUAACAUGGCCAUGAAAAAAGGCCAAAAAAUAACAUUGAAGAUAGCUUUUAUUGGGUCUUUAGUGACCUGGUUUCGAAGUUGGUUAAUAUAGAUCAUCCCUGAGGGACAUAUUUGAAUCCCACUAUGAAAAAGUUCUGAUGAGUUUUAACCAUGUUUUAAGCAUAUUUCUUGAGAAGUUACAUGCACUGGGUGAUUUAACUAAUGUGGAAAUAGAGUCACUAAAACAGGAGACUUAAAAGAACUGUUUACAUGUCUUGAUGGUUCGUGGUUUAGGUAAAACAAUGUGGUUUUUCCUAAGCCCAGCCUAAACGUCCUGAUUAUCAGUUCUGGGUCCCUGGCAAUGACUGUUGGGUACAAACUGCCAAACUUUGUUCUGCAGGUAGGGCUGGGCUUUUCAUUGACCAUGUGGGUCGGAUAGUUGUGUGGGCACAGUGUGUCAUCUCAGCCACUAUGUUUUCUGCAGUUGUGUCCAUACAGCACCUUGAUAGCUCAGUUGGUAGAGCUAAGGGCUGUGUUACAAAGUUCGCUGGUUCAAGUCCUGCUCGAAACAUGUGCAUUUUAUUGUUGCAAGCAAUGUUCUAGGUCUUCACGCAUUGAAAAAAACCCAAGCCUUGUCUUCAUUUGUCAACUCCUCCAAAAUGUAAAAACACAAACAAUAUAACUCCUGCUUCAUUUUCCAACCAUCAUUUUUUUAGUCACCCAGCCUAAAAAUCCAGACUAUCAGUUCUGGGUCCUUGGCAAUGACUCCUGGGUACAAACUGUGGUGCUCUGUCCUGAAGGUUAGACUGGGCUUUUCAUCGGCCAUGUUAAUCAAAAGCCCAGCCUAAAGGUCCUGAAUAUCAGUUCUGGGUCCCUGGCAAUGACUGUUGGGUACAAACUGCCAAACUUUGUUCUGCAGGAAGGGCUGGGCUUUUCUUUGACCAUGUGGGUCGAAUAGUUGUGUGGGCAAAGUGUGUCAUCUCAGCCACUAUGUUUUCUGCAGUUGUGCCCAUACAGCACCCUGAUAGCUCAGAUGGUAGAGCGAAGAACUGUAGUAAGUGCCUCUUAUGAAGUACUCUCAUGCAAAGUUCGUUGGUUCAAGUCCUGCUCAAAACACGUGCAUUUCAUUGUUGCAAGCAAUGUUCUUGGUCUUAACACAUUGAAAUAAUGCCAAGCUUUGUCUUCAUCUGUCAACUCCUCCAAAAUGUAAAAACAUAAAAUCUAACUCCUCUUAAUUUUCCAACCAUCAUUUUUUUAUUCACCCAGCCUAAAAAUCCAGAUCAUCAGUUCUGGGUCGUUGGAAAUGACUCCUGGGUACAAACUGUGAAGCUCUGUCCUGAGGGUAGGACUGGGCUUUAGAUUGGCCAUGUUAAUCAAAAGCCCAGCCUAAAAGUCCUGAUUAUCAGUUCUGGGUCCUUGGCAAUGAAUGUUGGGUACAAAAUGCAAAGCUUUGUUCUGCAGGUAGGGCUGGGCUUUUCAUUGACAAUGUGGGUUGAAUAGUUGUGUUGGCAAAGUGUGUUGUCGUAGCCACUAUGUUCUCUGCACUUGUGACUAUAAGCACCUUCAUAGCUCAGUUGGUAGAGCAGAGCACCGUAAGAAGAUCCUCAUCUGAAAGGCUGUCAUCCUAAGGUCGCUGGUUCAACUCCAGCCCAAAGCACCAGAUUUCAUUGGUGUAUGCACUUUUCAAGCUUUUUCAUUGACCAUGUAGCUUUAAUUGUUGUGUUGGCAAAGUGUAUCAUCUCAGCCACUAUGUUUUCUGCGGUUGAGUCUUUAAGCACCUUCAUAGCUCAGUUGGUAGAGCAGGGCACUGUUAGAAGUUCCUAGUAUGAAACUCUGUGAUGCGAACAUCGCUGGUUCAACUCCCGCUCAAAGCACCAGUUUUCAUUGGUGUAUGCGCUUUUCAAGCUUUUUCAUUGACCAUGUAGCUUUAAUUGUUGUGUUGGCAAAGUGUGUCGUCUAAGCAACUAUGUUUUCUGCAGUCGAGUCUACAAUCACCUUCAUAGCUAAGUUGGUAGAGCAAGGCACUGUUAAAAGUUCCUCAUAUAAUACGCUGUGAUGCGAACAUCGCUGGUUCAACUCCCGCUCAAAGCACCAGAUUUCAUUGGUGUAUGCACUUUUCAAGCUUUUUCAUUGACCAUGUAGCUUUAAUUGUUUUGUUGGCAAAGUGUUUCGUCUCAGCCACUUUGUUUUCUGCGGUUGAGUCUAUAAGCACCUUCAUAGCUCAAUUGGUACAGCAGAGGACUGUCAGAAGUUCCUAGUAUGAAACUCUGUGAUGCGAACAUCCCUGGUUCAACUCCCGCUCAAAGCACCAUUUGUCAUUGGUGUAUGCACUUUUCAAGCUUUUUCAUUGACCAUGUAGCUUUAAUUGUUGUGUUGGCAAAGUGUGUCGUCUCAGCCACUAUGUUUUCUGCGGUUGAUUCUACAAGCACCUUCAUAGCUCAGUUGGUAGAGCAGAGCACUGUAAGAAGUUCCUCAUAUGAAGCGUUGUUAUGCGAACAUCGCUGGUUCAACUCCCGCUCAAAGCACCAGUUUCAUUGGUGUACGCACUUUUCAAGCUUUUUCAUUGACCAUGUGGCUUUAAUUGUUGUGUUGGCAAAGUGUAUCGUCUCAGCCACUAUGUUUUCUGCGGUGGAGUCUAUAAGCACCUUCAUAGCUCAGUUGGUAGAGCAGAGGCCUGUAAGAAGUUCCUCAUAUGAAGCGUUGUUAUGCGAACAUCGCUGGUUCAACUCCCGCUCAAAGCACCAGUUCCAUUUAUGUAUGCACUUUUCAAGCUUUUUCAUUGACCAUGUAGCUUUAAUUUUUGUGUUGGCAAAGUGUGUCGUCUCAGCCACUAUGUUUUCUGCGGUUGUGUCAAUAAGCACCUUCACAGUUCAUUUGGUAGAGCAGAGGACUGUCAGAAGUUCCUAGUAUGAAACUCUGUGAUGCGAACAUCCCUGGUUCAACUCCUGCUCAAAGCACCAUUUGUCAUUGGUGUACGCACUUUUCAAGCUUUUUCAUUGACCAUGUGGCUUUAAUUGUUGUGUUGGCAAAGUGUAUCGUCUCAGCCACUAUGUUUUCUGCGGUUGAGUCUAUAAGCACCUUCAUAGCUCAGUUGGUAGAGCAGAGGACUGUCAGAACUUCCUAGUAUGAAACUCUGUGAUGCGACCAUCGCUGAUUCAACUCCCGCUCAAAGCACAAUUUUUCAUUGGUGUAUGCACUUUUCAAGCUUUUUCAUUGACCAUGUAGCUUUAAUUGUUGUGUUGGCAAAGUGUAUCGUCUCAGCCACUAUGUUUUCUGCGGUUGAGUCUAUAAGCACCUUCAUAGCUCAGUUGGUAGAGCACAGGACUGUCAGAACUUCCUAGUAUGAAACUCUGUGAUGCGAACAUCCCUGGUUCAACUCCCGCUCAAAGCACCAUUUGUCAUUGGUGUGUGCACUUUUCAAGCUUUUUCAUUGACCAUGUAGCUUUAAUUGUUGUGUUGGCAAAGUGUGUCGUCUCAGCCACUAUGUUUUCUGCGGUUGAUUCUACAAGCACCUUCAUAGCUCAGUUGGUAGAGCAGAGGACUGUAAGAAGUUCCUCAUAUGAAGCGUUGUUAUGCGAACAUCGCUGGUUCAACUCCCGCUCAAAGCACCAGUUUCAUUGGUGUACGCACUUUUCAAGCUUUUUCAUUGACCAUGUGGCUUUAAUUGUUGUGUUGGCAAAGUGUAUCGUCUCAGUCACUAUGUUUUCUGCGGUGGAGUCUAUAAGCACCUUCAUAGCUCAGUUGGUAGAGCAGAGGACUGUAAGAAGUUCCUCAUAUGAAGCGUUGUUAUGCGAACAUCGCUGGUUCAACUCCCGCUCAAAGCACAAGUUCCAUUUAUGUAUGCACUUUUCAAGCUUUUUCAUUGACCAUGUAGCUUUAAUUUUUGUGUUGGCAAAGUGUGUCGUCUCAGCCACUAUGUUUUCUGCGGUUGUGUCAAUAAGCACCUUCACAGUUCAUUUGGUAGAGCAGAGGACUGUCAGAACUUCCUAGUAUGAAACUCUGUGAUGCGACCAUCGCUGGUUCAACUCCCGCUCAAAGCACCAUUUUUCAUUGGUGUAUGCACUUUUCAAGCUUUUCCAUUGACCAUGUAGCUUUUAUUGUUGUGUUGGCAAAGUGUGUCGUCUCAGCCACUAUGUUUUCUGCGGUUGAUUCUACAAGCACCUUCAUAGCUCAGUUGGUAGAGCAGAGGACUGUCAGAAGUUCCUAGUAUGAAACUCUGUGAUGCGAACAUCCCUGGUUCAACUCCUGCUCAAAGCACCAUUUGUCAUUGGUGUACGCACUUUUCAAGCUUUUUCAUUGACCAUGUGGCUUUAAUUGUUGUGUUGGCAAAGUGUAUCGUCUCAGCCACUAUGUUUUCUGCGGUUGAGUCUAUAAGCACCUUCAUAGCUCAGUUGGUAGAGCAGAGGACUGUCAGAACUUCCUAGUAUGAAACUCUGUGAUGCGACCAUCGCUGCUUCAACUCCCGCUCAACGCACCAUUUUUCAUUGGUGUAUGCACUUUUCAAGCUUUUUCAUUGACCAUGUAGCUUUAAUUGUUGUGUUGGCAAAGUGUAUCGUCUUAGCCACUAUGUUUUCUGCGGUUGAGUCUAUAAGCACCUUCAUAGCUCAGUUGGUAGAGCAGAGGACUGUCAGAACUUCCUAGUAUGAAACUCUGUGAUGCGACCAUCGCUGGUUCAACUCCUGCUCAAAGCACCAUUUGUCAUUGGUGUGUGCACUUUUCAAGCUUUUUCAUUGACAAUGUGGCUUUAAUUGUUGUGUUGGCAAAGUGUAUCGUCUCAGCCACUAUGUUUUCUGCGGUUGAGUCUAUAAGCACCUUCAUACCUCAGUUGGUAGAGCAGAGGACUGUAAGAAGUUCCUCAUAUGAAGCGUUGUUAUGCGAACAUCGCUGGUUCUACUCCCGCUCAAAGCACCAGUUUCAUUUAUGUAUGCACUUUUCAAGCUUUUUCAUUGACCAUGUAGCUUUAAUUGUUGUGUUGGCAAAGUGUGUCGCCGAAGCCACUAUGUUUUCUGCGGUUGAGUCUAUAAGCACCUUCAUAGCUCAGUUGGUAGAGCAGAGGACUGUAAGAAGUUCCUGAAAUGCUGUGGUCCAAAGGGCGCUGGAUCAACUCCAGCUCCAAACACCACAUUUCAUUGCUGUAUGCACUGUUCAACCUUUUUCAUUGACCAUGUGGGUCCAAUUGUAUUGUUGGCAAAGUGUGUCGUCUCAGCCACUAUGUUUUCUGCGGUUGUGUCAAUAAGCACCUUCACAGUUCAUUUGGUAGAGCAGAGGACUGUUAGAAGUUCCUAGUAUGAAGCGUUGUUAUGCGAAAAUCGCUGGUUCAACUCCCCCUCAAAGCAUCAUUUGUGUAUCCACUUUUCAAGCUUUUUCAUUGACCAUGUAGCUUUAAUUGUUGUGUUGGCAAAGUGUGUCGUUUCAGCCACUAUGUUUUCUGCGGUUGUGUCAAUAAGCACCUUCACAGUUCAUUUGGUAGAGCAGAGGACUGUUAGAAGUUCCUAGUAUGAAGCGUUGUUAUGCGAAAAACGCUGGUUCAACUCCCCCUCAAAGCAUCAUUUGUGUAUGCACUUUUCAAGCUUUUUCAUUGACCAUGUAGCUUUAAUUGUUGUGUUGGCAAAGUGUGUCAUCUUAGCCACUAUGUUUUCUGCGGUUGAGUCUACAAGCACCUUCAUAGCUCAGUUGGUAGAGCAGAGGACUGUAAGAAGUUCCUCAUAUGAAGCGUUGUUAUGCGCACAUUGCUGGUUCAACUCCCGCUCAAAGCACCAGUUUCAUUGGUGUAUGCACUUUUCAAGCUUUUUCAUUGACCAUGUGGCUUUAAUUGUUGUGUUGGUAAAGUGUAUCGUCUCAGCCACUAUGUUUUCUGCGGUUGAGUCUAUAAGCACCUUCAUAGCUCAGUUGGUAGAGCAGAGGACUGUAAGAAGUUCCUCAUAUGAAGCGUUGUUAUGCAAACAUCGCUGGUUCAACUCCCGCUCAAAGCACCAGUUUCAUUUCUGUAUGCACUUUUCAAGCUUUUUCAUUGACCAUGUAGCUUUAAUUGUUGUGUUGGCAAAGUAUGUCGUCUCAGCCACUAUGUUUUCUGCGGUUGUGUCAAUAAGCACCUUCACAGCUCAGUUGGUAGAGCAGAGCACUGUAAGAAGUUCCUCGUAUAAAACUCUGUGAUGCGAACAUCGCUGGUUCAACUCCCCCUCAAAGCAUCAUUGGUGUAUGCACUUUUCAAGCUUUUUCAUCGACCAUGUAGCUUUAAUUGUUGUGUUGGCAAAGUGUAUCGUCUCAGCCACUAUGUUUUCUGCGGUUGAGUCUACAAAAACCUUCAUAGCUCACUUGGUAGAGCAGAGGACUGUAAGAAGUUCCUAGUAGGAAACUCUGUGAUGUGAACAUUGCCUAUUCAACUCCCGCUUAAAGCACGAUUUUUCAUUGGUGUAUGCACUUUACAAGCUUUUUCAUUGACAAUUUAGCUUUUAUUGUUGUGUUGGCAAAGUGUGUCGUCUCAGCCACUAUGUUUUCUGCGGUUGAGUCUAUAAGCACCUUCAUAGCUCAGUUGGUAGAGCAGAGGACUGUCAGAACUUCCUAGUAUGAAACUCUGUCAUGCGAACAUAGCUGGAUCAACUCCCGCUCAAAGCACAAUUUUUCAUUGGUGUAUGCACUUUUCAAGCUUUUUCAUUGACCAUGUAGCUUUAAUUGUUGUAUUGGCAAAGUGUAUCGUCUCAGCCACUAUGUUUUCUGCGGUUGAGUCUAUAAGCACCUUCAUAGCUCAGUUGGUAGAGCAGAGGACUGUAAGAAGUUUCUCAUAUAAAACUCUGUGAUGCAAACAUCGCUGGUUCAACUCCCGCUCAAAGCAUCAUUUGUGUAUGCACUUUUCAAGCUUUUUCAUUGACCAUGUAGCUUUAAUUGUUUUGUUGGCAAAGUGUAUCGUCUCAGCCACUAUGUUUUCUGCGGUUGACUCUGUAAGCACCUUCAUAGCUCAAUUGGUACAGCAGAGGACUGUCAGAAGUUCUGUGUAUGAAACUCUGUGAUGCGAACAUCCCUGGUUCAACUCCUGCCCAAAGCACCAUUUGUCAUUGGUGUAUGCACUUUUCAAGCUUUUUCAUUGACCAUGUAGCUUUAAUUGUUGUGUUGGCAAAGUGUGUCGCCGAAGCCACUAUGUUUUCUGCGGUUGAGUCUAUAAGCACCUUCAUAGCUCAGUUGGUAGAGCAGAGGACUGUAAGAAGUUCCUGAAAUGCUGUGGUCCAAAGGUCGCUGGUUCAACUCCAGCUCCAAACACCACAUUUCAUUGCUGUAUGCACUGUUCAACCUUUUUCAUUGACAAGGUAGCUUGAUUGUUAUGUUGGCAAAGUGUGUCGCCGAAGCCACUAUGUUUUCUGCGUUUGUGUCUAUAAGCACCUUCAUAGCUCAGUUGGUAGAGCAGAGGACUGUAAGAAGUUCCUGAAACGCUUUGGUCCAAAGGGCGCUGGUUCAACUCCAGCUCCUAACACUAGAUCUCAUUGCUGUAUGCACUCUUCAACCUUUUUCAUUGACCAUGUGGGUCCAAUUGUAUUGUUGGCAAAGUGUGUCGCCGAAGCCACUAUGUUUUCUGCGUUUGUGUCUAUAAGCACCUUCAUAGCUCAGUUGGUACAGCAGAGGACUGUAAGAAGUUCCUGAAACGCUGUGGUCCAAAGGUCGCUGGUUCAACUCCAGCUCCAAACACCACAUUUCAUUGCUGUAUGCACUGUUCAACCUUUUUCAUUGACCAUGUGGGUCCAAUUGUAGUGUUGGCAAAGUGUGUCGCCGAAGCCACUAUGUUUUCUGCGUUUGUAUAUAUAAGCACCUUCAUAGCUCAGUUGGUAGAGCAGAUGACUGUAAGAAGUUCCUGAAACGCUGUGGUCAAAAGGUCGCUGGUUCAACUCCACUUCCAAACACCAGAUUUCAUUGCUUUAUGCACUGUUCAACCUUUUUCAUUGACAAGGUAGCUUGAUUGUUAUGUUGGCAAAGUGUGUCGCCGAAGCCACUAUGUUUUCUGCGUUUGUGUCUAUAAGCACCUUCAUAGCUCAGUUGGUAGAGCAGAGGACUUUAAGAAGUUCCUGAAACGCUGUGGUCCAAAGGUCGCUGGUUCAACUCCAGCUCCAAACACCACAUUUCAUUGCUGUAUGCACUGUUCAACCUUUUUCAUUGACCAUGUGGGUCCAAUUGUAUUGUUGGCAAAGUGUGUCGCCGAAGCCACUAUGUUUUCUGCGUUUGUAUAUAUAAGCACCUUCAUAGCUCAGUUGGUAGAGCAGAGGACUGUAAGAAGUUCCUGAAACGCUGUGGUCCAAAGGUCGCUGGUUCAACUCCAGCUCCAAACACCACAUUUCAUUGCUGUAUGCACUCUUCAACCUUUUUCAUUGACCAUGUGGGUCCAAUUGUAUUGUUGGCAAAGUGUGUCACCGAAGCCACUAUGUUUUCUGCGUUUGUCUCUAUAAGCACCUUCAUAGCUCAGUUGGUAGAGCAGAGGACUGUAAGAAGUUCCUGAAACGCUGUGGUCCCAAGGGCGCUGGUUCAACUCCAGCUCCAAACACCACAUUUCAUUGCUGUAAGCACUCUUCAACCUUUUUCAUUGACCAUGUGGGUCAAAUUGUAUUGUUGGCAAAGUGUGUCGCCGAAGCCACUAGGUUUUCUGCGUUUGUGUCUAUGAGCACCUUCAUAGCUCAGUUGGUAGAGCAGAGGACUGUAAGAAUUUCCUGAAAUGCUGUGGUCCAAAGGUCGCUGGUUCAACUCCAGCUCCAAACACUAGAUCUUAUUGCUGUAUGCACUCUUCAACCUUUUUCAUUGACCAUGUGGGUCCAAUUGUAUUGUUGGCAAAGUGUGUCGCCGAAGCCACUAUGUUUUCUGCGUUUGUAUAUAUAAGCACCUUCAUAGCUCAGUUGGUAGAGCAGAGGACUGUAAGAAGUUCCUGAAAUGCUGUGGUCCGAAGUUCCUGAAACGCUGUAGUCCAAAGGUCACUGGUUCAACUCCAGCUCCAAACACCAGAUUUCAUUGCUGUAUGCACUCUUCAACCUUUUUCAUUGACCAUGUAGCUUUUAUUGUUGUGUUGGCAAAGUGUAUCGUCUCAGCCACUAUGUUUUCUGCGGUUGAGUCUAUAAGCACCUUCAUAGCUCAGUUCGUAGAGCAGAGGACUGUAAGAAGUUCCUAGUAUGAAACUCUGUGAUGCGAACAUCGCUGCUUCAACUCCCGCUCAAAGCACCAGUUUUCAUUGCUGUAUGCACUCUUAAACCUUUUUCAUUGACCAUGUGGGUCCAAUUGUAUUGUUGGCAAAGUGUGUCGCCGAAGCCACUAUGUUUUCUGCGUUUGUAUAUAUAAGCACCUUCAUAGCUCAGUUGGUAGAGCAGAGGACUGUAAGAAGUUCCUGAAACGCUGUGGUCCAAAGGUCGCUGGUUCAACUCCAGCUCUUAACACUAGAUCUCAUUGCUGUAUGCACUCUUCAACCUUUUUCAUUGACCAUGUGGGUCCAAUUGUAUUGUUGGCAAAGUGUGUCGCCGAAUCCACUAUGUUUUCUGCGUUUGUGUCUAUAAGCACCUUCAUAGCUCAGUUGGUAGAGCAGAGGACUGUAAGAAGUUCCUGAAACGCUGUGGUCCAAAGGUCGCUCGUUCAACUCCAGCUCCAAACACUAGAUCUUAUUGCUGUAUGCACUCUUCAACCUUUUUCAUUGACCAUGUAUGUCCAAUUGUAUUGUUGGCAAAGUGUGUCGCCGAAGCCACUAUGUUUUCUGCGUUUGUAUAUAUAAGCACCUUCAUAGCUCAGUUGGUAGAGCAGAGGACUUAAAGAAGUUCCUGAAACCCUGUGGUCCAAAGGUCGCUGGUUCAACUCCAGCUCCAAACACCACAUUUCAUUGCUGUAUGCACUGUUCAACCUUUUUCAUUGACCAUGUGGGUCCAAUUGUAUUGUUGGCAAAGUGUGUCGCCGAAGCCACUAUGUUUUCUGCGUUUGUAUAUAUAUGCACCUUCAUAGCUCAGUUGGUACAGCAGAGGACUGUAAGAAGUUCCUGAAACGCUGUGGUCCAAAGGGCGCUGGUUCAACUCCAGCUCUUAACACUAGAUCUCAUUGCUGUAUGCACUCUUCAACCUUUUUCAUUGACCAUGUGGGUCCAAUUGUAUUGUUGGCAAAGUGUGUCGCCGAAUCCACUAUGUUUUCUGUGUUUGUGUCUGUAAGCACCUUCAUAGCUCAGUUGCUAGACCAGAGGACUGUAAGAAGUUCCUGAAACGCUGUGGUCCAAAGGUCGCUGGUUCAACUCCAGCUCCAAACACUAGAUCUUAUUGCUGUAUGCACUCUUCAACCUUUUUCAUUGACCAUGUUGUCCAAUUGUAUUGUUGGCAAAGUGUGUCGCCGAAGCCACUAUGUUUUCUGCGUUUGUAUAUAUAAGCACCUUCAUAGCUCAGUUGGUAGAGCAGAGGACUUUAAGAAGUUCCUGAAAUGCUGUGGUCCGAAGUUCCUGAAACGCUGUAGUCCAAAGGUCACUGGUUCAACUCCAGCUCCAAACACCAGAUUUCAUUGCUGUAUGCACUCUUCAACCUUUUUCAUUGACCAUGUGGCUUUAAUUGUUGUGUUGGCAAAGUGUAUCGUCUCAGCCACUAUGUUUUCUGCGGUUGAGUCUAUAAGCACCUUCAUAGCUCAGUUGGUAGAGCAGAGGACUGUAAGAAGUUCCUAAUAUGAAACUCUGUGAUGCGAACAUCGCUGCUUCAACUCCCGCUCAAAGCACCAGUUUUCAUUGGUGUAUGCACUUUUCAAGCUUUUUCAUUGACCAUGUAGCUUUAAUUGUUUUGUUGGCAAAGUGUAUCGUCUCAGCCACUAUGUUUUCUGCGGUUCAGUCUACAAGCACUUUCAUAGCUCAGUUGGUAGAGCAGAACACUGUAAGAAGUUCUUAGUAUGAAACUCUGUGAUGCGAACAUCGCUGGUUCAGCUCCCGCUCAAAGCACACGUUUUCAUUGGUGUAUGCACUUUUCAAGCUUUUGCAUUGAUCAUGUAGCUUUAAUUGUUGUGUUGGCAAAGUGUAUCGUCUCAGCCACUAUGUUGUCUGCGGUUGAGUCUACAAGCACCUUCACAGCUCAGUUGGUAGAGCAGAAGACUGUAAGAAGUUCCUAGUAUGAAAUUCUGUGAUGCGAACAUAGCUGGUUCAACUCCCGCUCAAAGCACCAGUUUUCAUUGCUGUAUGCACUCUUAAACCUUUUUCAUUGACCAAGUGGGUCCAAUUGUAUUGUUGGCAAAGUGUGUCGCCGAAGCCACUAUGUUUUCUGCGUUUGUAUAUAUAAGCACCUUCAUAGCUCAGUUGGUAGAGCAGAGGACUGUAAGAAGUUCCUGAAACGCUGUGGUCCAAAGGUCGCUGGUUCAACUCCAGCUCCAAACACCACAUUUCAUUGCUGUAUGCACUGUUCAACCUUUUUCAUUGACCAUGUGGGUCCAACUGUAUUGUUGGCAAAGUGUGUCGCCGAAGCCACUAUGUUUUCUGCGUUUGUAUAUAUAAGCACCUUCAUAGCUCAGUUGGUAGAGCAGAGGACUGUACGAAGUUCCUGAAACGCUGUGGUCCAAAGGUCGCUGGUUCAACUCCAGCUCCAAACACCACAUUUCAUUGCUGUAUGCACUGUUCAACCUUUUUCAUUGACAAGGUAGCUUGAUUGUUAUGUUGGCAAAGUGUGUCGCCGAAGCCACUAUGUUUAAUGCGUUUGUGUCUAUAAGCACCUUCAUACCUCAGUUGGUAGAGCAGAGGACUGUAAGAAGUUCCUGAAACGCUGUGGUCCAAAGGUCGCUGGUUCAACUCCAGCUCCAAACACCACAUUUCAUUGCUGUAUGCACUGUUCAACCUUUUUCAUUGACCAUGUGGGUCCAAUUGUAUUGUUGGCAAAGUGUGUCGCCGAAGCCACUAUGUUUUCUGCGUUUGUGUCUAUAAGCACCUUCAUAGCUCAGUUGGUAGAGCAGAGGACUGUAAGAAGUUCCUGAAACGCUGUGCUCCAAAGGUCGCUGGUUCAACUCCAGCUCCAAACACCACAUUUCAUUGCUGUAUGCACUGUUCAACCUUUUUCAUUGACCAUGUGGGUCCAAUUGUAUUGUUGGCAAAGUGUGUCGCCGAAGCCACUAUGUUUUCUGCGUUUGUAUAUAUAAGCACCUUCAUAGCUCAGUUGGUAGAGCAGAGGACUGUAAGAAGUUCCUGAAACGCUGUGGUCCAAAGGUUGCUGGUUCAACUCCAGCUCCAAACACCACAUUUCAUUGCUGUAUGCACUGUUCAACCUUUUUCAUUGACAAGGUAGCUUGAUUGUUAUGUUGGCAAAGUGUGUCGCCGAAGCCACUAUGUUUAAUGCGUUUGUGUCUAUAAGCACCUUCAUACCUCAGUUGGUAGAGCAGAGGACUGUAAGAAGUUCCUGAAACGCUGUGGUCCAAAGGUCGCUGGUUCAACUCCAGCUCCAAACACCACAUUUCAUUGCUGUAUGCACUGUUCAACCUUUUUCAUUGACCAUGUGGGUCCAAUUGUAUUGUUGGCAAAGUGUGUCGCCGAAGCCACUAUGUUUUCUGCGUUUGUGUCUAUAAGCACCUUCAUAGCUCAGUUGGUAGAGCAGAGGACUGUAAGAAGUUCCUGAAACGCUGUGGUCCAAAGGUUGCUGGUUCAACUCCAGCUCCAAACACCACAUUUCAUUGCUGUAUGCACUGUUCAACCUUUUUCAUUGACCAUGUGGGUCCAAUUGUAUUGUUGGCAAAGUGUGUCGCCGAAGCCACUAUGUUUUCUGCGUUUGUAUAUAUAAGCACCUUCAUAGCUCAGUUGGUAGAGCAGAGGAAUGUGAGAAGUUCCUGAAACGCUGUGGUCCAAAGGUCGCUGCUUCAACUCCAGCUCCAAACGCCACAUUUCAUUGCUGUAUGCACUGUUCAACCUUUUUCAUUGACCAUGUGGGUCCAAUUGUAUUGUUGGCAAAGUGUGUCGCCGAAUCCACUAUGUUUUCUGCGUUUGUGUCUAUAAGCACCUUCAUAGCUCAGUUGGUAGAGCAGAGGACUGUAAGAAGUUCCUGAAACGCUGUGGUCCAAAUGUUGCUGGUUCAACUCCAGCUCCAAACACUAGAUCUUAUUGCUGUAUGCACUCUUCAACCUUUUUCAUUGACCAUGUGGGUCCAAUUGUAUUGUUGGCAAAGUGUGUCGCCGAAGCCACUAUGUUUUCUGCGUUUGUAUAUAUAAGCACCUUCAUAGCUCAGUUGGUAGAGCAGAGGACUGUAAGAAGUUCCUGAAACGCUGUGGUCCAAAGGUUGCUGGUUCAACUCCAGCUCCAAACACCACAUUUCAUUGCUGUAUGCACUGUUCAACCUUUUUCAUUGACAAGGUAGCUUGAUUGUUAUGUUGGCAAAGUGUGUCGCCGAAGCCACUAUGUUUAAUGCGUUUGUGUCUAUAAGCACCUUCAUACCUCAGUUGGUAGAGCAGAGGACUGUAAGAAGUUCCUGAAACGCUGUGGUCCAAAGGUCGCUGGUUCAACUCCAGCUCCAAACACCACAUUUCAUUGCUGUAUGCACUGUUCAACCUUUUUCAUUGACCAUGUGGGUCCAAUUGUAUUGUUGGCAAAGUGUGUCGCCGAAGCCACUAUGUUUUCUGCGUUUGUGUCUAUAAGCACCUUCAUAGCUCAGUUGGUAGAGCAGAGGACUGUAAGAAGUUCCUGAAACGCUGUGGUCCAAAGGUCGCUGGUUCAACUCCAGCUCCAAACACCACAUUUCAUUGCUGUAUGCACUGUUCAACCUUUUUCAUUGACCAUGUGGGUCCAAUUGUAUUGUUGGCAAAGUGUGUCGCCGAAGCCACUAUGUUUUCUGCGUUUGUAUAUAUAAGCACCUUCAUAGCUCAGUUGGUAGAGCAGAGGAAUGUGAGAAGUUCCUGAAACGCUGUGGUCCAAAGGUCGCUGCUUCAACUCCAGCUCCAAACGCCACAUUUCAUUGCUGUAUGCACUGUUCAACCUUUUUCAUUGACCAUGUGGGUCCAAUUGUAUUGUUGGCAAAGUGUGUCGCCGAAUCCACUAUGUUUUCUGCGUUUGUGUCUAUAAGCACCUUCAUAGCUCAGUUGGUAGAGCAGAGGACUGUAAGAAGUUCCUGAAACGCUGUGGUCCAAAUGUUGCUGGUUCAACUCCAGCUCCAAACACUAGAUCUUAUUGCUGUAUGCACUCUUCAACCUUUUUCAUUGACCAUGUGGGUCCAAUUGUAUUGUUGGCAAAGUGUGUCGCCGAAGCCACUAUGUUUUCUGCGUUUGUAUAUAUAAGCACCUUCAUAGCUCAGUUGGUAGAGCAGAGGACUUUAAGAAGUUCCUGAAAUGCUGUGAUCCGAAGUUCCUGAAACGCUGUAGUCCAAAGGUCACUGGUUUAACUCCAGCUCCAAACACCACAUUUCAUUGCUGUAUGCACUCUUCGACCUUUUUCAUUGACCAUGUAGCUUUAAUUGUUGUGUUGGCAAAGUGUAUCGUCUCAGCCACUAUGUUUUCUGCGGUUGAGUCUAUAAGCACCUUCAUAGCUCAGUUGGUAGAGCAGAGGACUGUAAGAAGUUCCUAGUAUGAAACUCUGUGAUGCGAACAUCGCUGCUUCAACUCCCGCUCAAAGCACCAGUUUUCAUUGGUGUAUGCACUUUUCAAGCUUUUUCAUUGACCAUGUAGCUUUAAUUGUUUUGUUGGCAAAGUGUAUCGUCUCAGCCACUAUGUUUUCUGCGGUUGAGUCUACUAGCACCUUCAUAGCUCAGUUGGUAGAGCAGAACACUGUAAGAAGUUCUUAGUAUGAAACUCUGUGAUGCGAACAUCGCUGGUUCAGCUCCCGCUCAAAGCACCAGUUUUCAUUGGUGUAUGCACUUUUCAAGCUUUUGCAUUGAUCAUGUAGCUUUAAUUGUUGUGUUGGCAAAGUGUAUCGUCUCAGCCACUAUGUUGUCUGCGGUUGAGUCUACAAGCACCUUCACAGCUCAGUUGGUAGAGCAGAAGACUGUAAGAAGUUCCUAGUAUGAAACUCUGUGAUGCGAACAUCGCUGGCUCAACUCCCGCUCAAAGCACCAGUUUUCAUUGCUGUAUGCACUCUUAAACCUUUUUCAUUGACCAUGUGGGUCCAAUUGUAUUGUUGGCAAAGUGUGUCGCCGAAGCCACUAUGUUUUCUGCGUUUGUAUAUAUAAGCACCUUCAUAGCUCAGUUGGUAGAGCAGAGGACUGUAAGAAGUUCCUGAAACGCUGUGGUCCAAAGGUCGCUGCUUCAACUCCAGCUCCAAACACCACAUUUCAUUGCUGUAUGCACUGUUCAACCUUUUUCAUUGACCAUGUGGGUCCAAUUGUAUUGUUGGCAAAGUGUGUCGCCGAAGCCACUAUGUUUUCUGCGUUUGUGUCUAUAAGCACCUUCAAAGCUCACUUGGUAGAGCAGAGCACUGUAAGAAGUUCCUGAAACGCUGUGGUCCAAAGGUCGCUGGUUCAACUCCAGCUCCAAACACCACAUUUCAUUGCUGUAUGCACUGUUCAACCUUUUUCAUUGACCAUGUGGGUCCAAUUGUAUUGUUGGCAAAGUGUGUCGCCGAAGCCACUAUGUUUUCUGCGUUUGUAUAUAUAAGCACCUUCAUAGCUCAGUUGGUAGAGCAGAGGACUGUAAGAAGUUCCUGAAACGCUGUGGUCCAAAGGUCGCUGGUUCAACUCCAGCUCCAAACACCACAUUUCAUUGCUGUAUGCACUGUUCAACCUUUUUCAUUGACCAUGUGGGUCCAAUUGUAUUGUUGGCAAAGUGCGUCGCCGAAUCCACUAUGUUUUCUGCGUUUGUGUCUAUAAGCACCUUCAUAGCUCAGUUGGUAGAGCAGAGGACUGUAAGAAGUUCCUGAAACGCUGUGGUCCAAAGGUCGCUGGUUCAACUCCAGCUCCAAACACUAGAUCUUAUUGCUGUAUGCACUCUUCAACCUUUUUCAUUGACCAUGUGGGUCCAAUUGUAUUGUUGGCAAAGUGUGUCGCCGAAGCCACUAUGUUUUCUGCGUUUGCAUAUAUAAGCACCUUCAUAGCUCAGUUGGUAGAGCAGAGGACUUUAAGAAGUUCCUGAAAUGCUGUGGUCCGAAGUUCCUGAAACGCUGUAGUCCAAAGGUCACUGGUUCAACUCCAGCUCCAAACACCAGAUUUCAUUGCUGUAUGCACUCUUCAACCUUUUUCAUUGACCACGUAGCUUUAAUUGUUGUGUUGGCAAAGUGUAUCGUCUCAGCCACUAUGUUUUCUGCGGUUGAGUCUAUAAGCACCUUCAUAGCUCAGUUGUAGAGCAGACGACAGUAAGAAGUUCCUAGUAUGAAACUCUGUGAUGCGAACAUCGCUGCUUCAACUCCCGCUCAAAGCACCAGUUUUCAUUGGUGUAUGCACUUUUCAAGCUUUUUCAUUGACCAUGUAGCUUUAAUUGUUUUGUUGGCAAAGUGUAUCGUCUCAGCCACUAUGUUUUCUGCGGUUGAGUCUACAAGCACCUUCAUAGCUCAGUUGGUAGAGCAGAGGACUGUAAGAAGUUCCUGAAACGCUGUGGUCCAAAGGUCGCUGGUUCAACUCCAGCUCCAAACAGCACAUUUCAUUGCUGUAUGCACUCUUCAACCUUUUUCAUUGACCAUGUGGGUCCAAUUGUAUUGUUGGCAAAGUGUGUCGCCGAAGCCACUAUGUUUUCUGCGCUUGUGUCUAUACGCACCUUCAUAGCUCAGUUGGUAGAGCAGAGGACUGUAAGAAGUUCCUGAAACGCUGUGGUCCAAAUGUUGCUGGUUCAACUCCAGCUCCAAACACCACAUUUCAAUGCUGUAUGCACUGUUCAACCUUUUUCAUUGACCAUGUGGGUCCAAUUGUAUUGUUGGCAAAGUGUGUCGCCGAAGCCACUAUGUUUUCUGCGUUUGUAUAUAUAAGCACCUUCAUAGCUCAGUUGGUAGAGCAGAGGACUGUAAGAAGUUCCUGAAACGCUGUGGUCCAAAGGUCGCUGGUUCAACUCCAGCUCCAAACACCAGAUUUCAUUGCUUUAUGCACUGUUCAACCUUUUUCAUUGACAAGGUAGCAUGAUUGUUAUGUUGGCAAAGUGUGUCGCCAAAGCCACUAUGUUUUCUGCGUUUGUGUCUAUAAGCACCUUCAUAGCUCAGUUGGUAGAGCAGAGGACUGUAAGAAGUUCCUGAAAUGCUGUGGUCCAAAGGGCGCUGGUUCAACUCCAGCUCCUAACACUAGGUCUCAUUGCUGUAUGCACUGUUCAACCUUUUUCAUUGACCAUGUGGGUCCAAUUGUAUUGUUGGCAAAGUGUGUCGCCGAAGCCACUAUGUUUUCUGCGUUUGUGUCUAUCAGCACCUUCAUAGCUCAGUUGGUAGAGCACACGACUGUAAGAAGUUCCUGAAACGCUGUGGUCCAAAGGUCGCUGGUUCAACUCCAGCUCCAAACACCAGAUUUCAUUGCUGUAUGCACUGUUCAACGUUUUUCAUUGACCAUGUGGGUCCAAUUAUAUUGUUGGCAAAGUGUGUCGCCGAAUCCACUAUGUUUUCUGCGUUUGUGUUUAUAAGCACCUUCAUAGCUCAGUUGGUAGAGCAGAGGACUGUAAGAAGUUCCUGAAACGCUGUGGUCCAAAGGUCGCUGGUUCAACUCCAGCUCCAAACACCAGAUUUCAUUGCUUCAUGCAAUGUUCAACCUUUUUCAUUGACAAGGUAGCUUGAUUGUUAUGUUGGCAAAGUGUGUCGCCAAAGCCACUAUGUUUUCUGCGUUUGUGUCUAUAAGCACCUUCAUAGCUCAGUUGGUAGAGCACACGACUGUAAGAAGUUCCUGAAAUGCUGUGGUCCAAAGGGCGCUGGUUCAACUCCAGCUCCUAACACUAGAUCUCAUUGCUUUAUGCACUCUUCAACCUUUUUCAUUGACCAUGUGGGUCCAAUUGUAUUGUUGGCAAAGUGUGUCGCCGAAGCCACUAUGUUUUCUGCGUUUGUGUCUAUCAGCACCUUCAUAGCUCAGUUGGUAGAGCACACGACUGUAAGAAGUUCCUGAAACGCUGUGGUCCAAAGGUCGCUGGUUCAACUCCAGCUCCAAACACCAGAUUUCAUUGCUGUAUGCACUGUUCAAGCUUUUUCAUUGACCAUGUGGGUCCAAUUAUAUUGUUGGCAAAGUGUGUCGCCGAAUCCACUAUGUUUUCUGCGUUUGUGUUUAUAAGCACCUUCAUAGCUCAGUUGGUAGAGCAGAGGACUGUAAGAAGUUCCUGAAACGCUGUUGUCCAAAGGUCGCUGGUUCAACUCCAGCUCCAAACACCACAUUUCAUUGCUGUAUGCACUGUUCAACCUUUUUCAUUGACAAGGUAGCUUGAUUGUUAUGUUGGCAAAGUGUGUCGCCGAAGCCACUAUGUUUAAUGCGUUUGUGUCUAUAAGCACCUUCAUAGCUCAGUUGGUAGAGCAGAGGACUGUAAGAAGUUCCUGAAACUCUGUGGUCCAAAGGUCGCUGGUUCAACUCCAGCUCCAAACACCACAUUUCAUUGCUGUAUGCACUGUUCAACCUUUUUCAUUGACCAUGUGGAUCCAAUUGUAUUGUUGGCAAAGUGUGUCGCCGAAGCCACUAUGUUUUCUGCGUUUCUAUACGCACCUUCAUAGCUCAGUUGGUAGAGCAGAGGACUGUAAGAAGUUCCUGAAACGCUGUGGUCCAAAGGUCGCUGGUUCAACUCCAGCUCCAAACACCAGAUUUCAUUGCUGUAUGCACUGUUCAACCUUUUUCAUUGACCAUGUGGGUCCAAUUGUAUUGUUGGCAAAGUGUGUCGCCGAAGCCACUAUGUUUUCUGCGUUUGUAUAUAUAAGCACCUUCAUAGCUCAGUUGGUAGAGCAGAGGACUUUAAGAAGUUCCUGAAAUGCUGUGGUCCGAAGUUCCUGAAACGCUGUAGUCCAAAGGUCACUGGUUCAACUCCAGCUCCAAACACCAGAUUUCAUUGCUGUAUGCACUCUUCAACCUUUUUCAUUGACCAUGUAGCUUUAAUUGUUGUGUUGGCAAAGUGUAUCGUCUCAGCCACUAUGUUUUCUGCGGUUGAGUCUAUAAGCACCUUCGUAGCUCAGUUGUAGAGCAGACGACAGUAAGAAGUUCCUAGUAUGAAACUCUGUGAUGCGAACAUCGCUGCUUCAACUCCCGCUCAAAGCACCAGUUUUCAUUGGUGUAUGCACUUUUCAAGCUUUUUCAUUGACCAUGUAGCUUUAAUUGUUUUGUUGGCAAAGUGUAUCGUCUCAGCCACUAUGUUUUCUGCGGUUGAGUCUACAAGCACCUUCAUAGCUCAGUUGGUAGAGCAGAGGACUUUAAGAAGUUCCUCAACAAUGUUGUCCAAAGGUCGCUGGUUCAACUCCAGCUCCAAACACCACAUUUCAUUGCUGUAUGCACUGUUCAACCUUUUUCAUUGACAAGGUAGCUUGAUUGUUAUGUUGGCAAAGUGUGUCGCCGAAGCCACUAUGUUUAAUGCGUUUGUGUCUAUAAGCACCUUCAUAGCUCAGUUGGUAGAGCAGAGGACUGUAAGAAGUUCCUGAAACGCUGUGGUCCAAAGGUCGCUGGUUCAACUCCAGCUCCAAACACCACAUUUCAUUGCUGUAUGCACUCUUCAACCUUUUUCAUUGACCAUGUGGGUCCAAUUGUAUUGUUGGCAAAGUGUGUCGCCGAAGCCACUAUGUUUUCUGCGCUUGUGUCUAUACGCACCUUCAUAGCUCAGUUGGUAGAGCAGAGGACUGUAAGAAGUUCCUGAAACGCUGUGGUCCAAAGGUCGCUGGUUCAGCUCCAAACACCAGAUUUCAUUGCUUUAUGCACUGUUCAACCUUUUUCAUUGACAAGGUAGCAUGAUUGUUAUGUUGGCAAAGUGUGUCGCCAAAGCCACUAUGUUUUCUGCGUUUGUGUCUAUAAGCACCUUCAUAGCUCAGUUGGUAGAGCAGAGGACUGUAAGAAGUUCUUGAAAUGCUGUGGUCCAAAGGGCGCUGGUUCAACUCCAGCUCCUAACACUAGAUCUCAUUGCUGUAUGCACUGUUCAACCUUUUUCAUUGACCAUGUGGGUCCAAUUGUAUUGUUGGCAAAGUGUGUCGCCGAAGCCACUAUGUUUUCUGCGGUUGAGUCUAUAAGCACCUUCAUAGCUCAGUUGGUAGAGCAGAGGACUGUAAGAAGUUCCUGAAACGCUGUGGUCCAAAGGUCGCUGGUUCAACUCCAGCUCCAAACACUAGAUCUUAUUGCUGUAUGCACUCUUCAACCUUUUUCAUUGACCAUGUGGGUCCAAUUGUAUUGUUGGCAAAGUGUGUCGCCGAAGCCACUAUGUCUUCUGCGUUUGCAUAUAUAAGCACCUUCAUAGCUCAGUUGGUAGAGCAGAGGACUUUAAGAAGUUCCUGAAAUGCUGUGGUCCGAAGUUCCUGAAACGCUGUAGUCCAAAGGUCACUGGUUCAACUCCAGCUCCAAACACCAGAUUUCAUUGCUGUAUGCACUCUUCAACCUUUUUCAUUGACCACGUAGCUUUAAUUGUUGUGUUGGCAAAGUGUAUCGUCUCAGCCACUAUGUUUUCUGCGGUUGAGUCUAUAAGCACCUUCAUAGCUCAGUUGUAGAGCAGACGACAGUAAGAAGUUCCUAGUAUGAAACUCUGUGAUGCGAACAUCGCUGCUUCAACUCCCGCUCAAAGCACCAGUUUUCAUUGGUGUAUGCACUUUUCAAGCUUUUUCAUUGACCAUGUAGCUUUAAUUGUUUUGUUGGCAAAGUGUAUCGUCUCAGCCACUAUGUUUUCUGCGUUUGUGUCUAUAAGCACCUUCAUAGCUCAGUUGGUAGAGCAGAGGACUGUAAGAAGUUCCUGAAACGCUGUGGUCCAAAGGUCGCUGGUUCAACUCCAGCUCCAAACACCAGUUUUCAUUGGUGUAUGCACUCUUCAACCUUUUUCAUUGACCAUGUGGGUCCAAUUGUAUUGUUGGCAAAGUGUGUCGCCGAAGCCACUAUGUUUUCUGCGCUUGUGUCUAUACGCACCUUCAUAGCUCAGUUGGUAGAGCAGAGGACUGUAAGAAGUUCCUGAAACGCUGUGGUCCAAAGGUCGCUGGUUCAACUCCAGCUCCAAACACCACAUUUCAAUGCUGUAUGCACUGUUCAACCUUUUUCAUUGACCAUGUGGGUCCAAUUGUAUUGUUGGCAAAGUGUGUCGCCGAAGCCACUAUGUUUUCUGCGUUUGUAUAUAUAAGCACCUUCAUAGCUCAGUUGGUAGAGCAGAGGACUGUAAGAAGUUCCUGAAACGCUGUGGUCCAAAGGUUGCUGGUUCAACUCCAGCUCCAAACACCAGAUUUCAUUGCUUUAUGCACUGUUCAACCUUUUUCAUUGACAAGGUAGCAUGAUUGUUAUGUUGGCAAAGUGUGUCGCCAAAGCCACUAUGUUUUCUGCGUUUGUGUCUAUAAGCACCUUCAUAGCUCAGUUGGUAGAGCAGAGGACUGUAAGAAGUUCCUGAAAUGCUGUGGUCCAAAGGGCGCUGGUUCAACUCCAGCUCCUAACACUAGGUCUCAUUGCUGUAUGCACUGUUCAACCUUUUUCAUUGACCAUGUGGGUCCAAUUGUAUUGUUGGCAAAGUGUGUCGCCGAAGCCACUAUGUUUUCUGCGUUUGUGUCUAUCAGCACCUUCAUAGCUCAGUUGGUAGAGCACACGACUGUAAGAAGUUCCUGAAACGCUGUGGUCCAAAGGUCGCUGGUUCAACUCCAGCUCCAAACACCAGAUUUCAUUGCUGUAUGCACUGUUCAACCUUUUUCAUUGACCAUGUGGGUCCAAUUAUAUUGUUGGCAAAGUGUGUCGCCGAAUCCACUAUGUUUUCUGCGUUUGUGUUUAUAAGCACCUUCAUAGCUCAGUUGGUAGAGCAGAGGACUGUAAGAAGUUCCUGAAACGCUGUGGUCCAAAGGUCGCUGGUUCAACUCCAGCUCCAAACACCAGAUUUCAUUGCUUCAUGCAAUGUUCAACCUUUUUCAUUGACAAAGUAGCUUGAUUGUUAUGUUGGCAAAGUGUGUCGCCAAAGCCACUAUGUUUUCUGCGUUUGUGUCUAUAAGCACCUUCAUAGCUCAGUUGGUAGAGCACACGACUGUAAGAAGUUCCUGAAAUGCUGUGGUCCAAAGGGCGCUGGUUCAACUCCAGCUCCUAACACUAGAUCUCAUUGCUUUAUGCACUCUUCAACCUUUUUCAUUGACCAUGUGGGUCCAAUUGUAUUGUUGGCAAAGUGU